This 301-nucleotide ribosomal RNA is filed under the name uncultured bacterium. Its description in RNAcentral is "partial 16S ribosomal RNA". It matches the Rfam family "Bacterial small subunit ribosomal RNA", at positions 509 to 807 of the family's 1533-position model. The record is from RNAcentral.
CAGCCGCCGCGGUAAAACGAAGGGGGCUAGCGUUGUUCGGAUUUACUGGGCGUAAAGGGUGCGUAGGCGGACUGAUAAGUUAGGGGUGAAAUCCCUAGGCUCAACCUUGGAACUGCCUUUGAUACUGUUAGUCUUGAGUUCGAGAGAGGUGAGUGGAACUGCGAGUGUAGAGGUGAAAUUCGUAGAUAUUCGCAAGAACACCAGUGGCGAAGGCGGCUCACUGGCCCGGUACUGACGCUGAGGCGCGAAAGCGUGGGGAACAAACAGGAUUAGAUACCCGCGUAGUCCCUGUCUCUUAUAC